GAUGAACGCUGGCGGCGUGCCUAAUACAUGCGAGUCGAGCGAACAGACGAGGAGCUUGCUCCUCUGACGUUAGCGGCGGACGGGUGAGUAACACGUGUAUAACCUACCUAUAAGACUGGGAUAACUUCGGGAAACCGGAGCUAAUACCGGAUAAUAUAUUGAACCGCAUGGUUCAAUAGUGAAAGACGGUUUUGCUGUCACUUAUAGAUGGAUCCGCGCCGCAUUAGCUAGUUGGUAAGGUAACGGCUUACCAAGGCAACGAUGCGUAGCCGACCUGAGAGGGGGAUAGGCCACACGGGAACUGAGACACGGUCCAGACUCCUACGGGAGGCAGCAGUAGGGAAUCUUCCGCAAUGGGCGAAAGCCUGACGGAGCAACGCCGCGUGAGUGAUGAAGGUCUUCGGAUCGUAAAACUCUGUUAUUAGUGAAGAACAAAUGUGUAAGUAACUAUGCACGUCUUGACGGUACCUAAUCAGAAAGCCACGGCUAACUACGUG
Molecule: ribosomal RNA, 497 nt
Filed under: uncultured bacterium
Lineage: Bacteria
Description: partial 16S ribosomal RNA
Rfam family: Bacterial small subunit ribosomal RNA
Source: RNAcentral